UAGGGAAUCUUCCACAAUGGACGCAAGUCUGAUGGAGCAACGCCGCGUGAGUGAAGAAGGUUUUCGGACCGUAAAGCUCUGUUGUUGGUGAAGAAGGAUAGAGGUAGUAACUGGCCUUUAUUUGACGGUAAUCAACCAGAAAGUCACGGCUAACUACGUGCCAGCAGCCGCGGUAAUACGUAGGUGGCAAGCGUUGUCCGGAUUUAUUGGGCGUAAAGCGAGCGCAGGCGGAAGAAUAAGUCCGAUGUGAAAGCCCUCGGCUUAACCGAGGAAUUGCAUCGGAAACUGUUUUUCUUGAGUGCAGAAGAGGAGAGUAGAACUCCAUGUGUAGCAGUGGAAUGCGUAGAUAUAUGGAAGAAUACCAGUGGCGAAGGCGGCUCUCUGGUCUGCAACUGACGCUGAGGCUCGAAAGCAUGGGUAGCGAACAGGAUUAGAUACCCUGGUAGUCCAUGCCGUAAACGAUGAGUGCUAAGUGUUGGGAGGCUUCCGCCUCUCAGUGCUGCAGCUAACGCAUUAAGCACUCCGCCUGGGGGAGUACGACCGC
Molecule: ribosomal RNA, 544 nt
Filed under: uncultured bacterium
Lineage: Bacteria
Description: partial 16S ribosomal RNA
Rfam family: Bacterial small subunit ribosomal RNA
Source: RNAcentral